RNAcentral lists this unclassified non-coding RNA (289 nucleotides) under Hevea brasiliensis (rubber tree). The record is from RNAcentral. Lineage: Eukaryota; Viridiplantae; Streptophyta; Magnoliopsida; Malpighiales; Euphorbiaceae.
GAGGACGGUUUAAGGCAAUGGCAGCAUACAAAGUGAAGUCCAUAACUCCAGCGGGUAAAGUGGAAGUGUUGUGUCGUGAUGAUGUCUACAUUCUUGAAGCUUUUGAUGAAGCUGGUGUUGACCUGCCAUGCUCAUGCAGGGUUGGUGCUUGCUCUUCUUGUGCUGGGAAAAUUGUAGCAGGGAACUGUGGAUCAGUCUGCUGGGAGCUUCCUUGACGAUGAGAAGAAAGAUGCUGGUUGGGUUCUCACUUGUAUUGCUCUUCCUCGGUCUGAUAUUGUCAUCGAGACAC